Molecule: ribosomal RNA, 319 nt
Filed under: uncultured soil bacterium
Lineage: Bacteria
Description: bacterial SSU rRNA
Rfam family: Bacterial small subunit ribosomal RNA
Source: RNAcentral
AGAACGAGCGCUGGCGGCAUGCCUAAUACAUGCAAGUCGAACGAACUCUUCGGAGUUAGUGGCGCACGGGUGCGUAACGCGUGGGAAUCUGCCCCUUGGUUCGGAAUAACAGUUGGAAACGACUGCUAAUACCGGAUGAUGACGAAAGUCCAAAGAUUUAUCGCCAAGGGAUGAGCCCGCGUAGGAUUAGCUAGUUGGUGAGGUAAAGGCUCACCAAGGCAACGAUCCUUAGCUGGUCUGAGAGGAUGAUCAGCCACACUGGGACUGAGACACGGCCCAGACUCCUACGGGAGCAGCAGUAGGGAUAUUGGACAAGUGG